CGGGGACUAGCUCAGAUGGCUAGAGUGCUGCGUUCGGGACGCAGAGGUCGCCGGUUCGAGUCCGGCGUCCCCGA
Molecule: transfer RNA, 74 nt
Filed under: Pseudomonadota bacterium
Lineage: Bacteria; Pseudomonadati; Pseudomonadota
Also listed under: 1 other name
Description: tRNA-Pro
Rfam family: tRNA
About the family: Transfer RNA (tRNA) molecules are approximately 80 nucleotides in length. Their secondary structure includes four short double-helical elements and three loops (D, anti-codon, and T loops).
Source: RNAcentral